UAAACUAGGAUUAGAUACCCUAUUAUUUCAUGUGUUAAGAUUUAACCUAGGUAGUAUUAGUUAUUUUCUUUAAACCUAAAGAAUUUGGCGGUAUUUUAGUCUUUUCAGAGGAACUUGUCCUGUUAUCGAUAUUCCUCGUUAUAUCUUUCUUAAUUUGGUUUAAUCAGUAUGUAUAUCGCCGUUAUAAGUUUAUUUUUAUAGAAUUUUAAUUUGCUAUUUAUUUUAUUUGAUUUUAUUUCAGGUCAAGGUGCAGUUUAUAGUUAAGUAGAGAUGAGUUACAAUAUUAUUUGAAUAUAUGGAUUUUUACAUUAAAUUUGUUUAAUGAAGGUGGAUUUGAUAGUAAUUUUGAUUAUAAAGUCGGGUUGAUAUUAGCUCUAAAAUAAGUACACAUCG
Molecule: ribosomal RNA, 393 nt
Filed under: Haaniella dehaanii
Lineage: Eukaryota; Metazoa; Arthropoda; Insecta; Phasmatodea; Heteropterygidae
Description: partial 12S ribosomal RNA
Source: RNAcentral